This is a long non-coding RNA of Eucalyptus grandis, 2564 nucleotides long. RefSeq lists it as uncharacterized. NCBI's taxonomy places the organism in Eukaryota, Viridiplantae, Streptophyta, Magnoliopsida, Myrtales, Myrtaceae. The transcript has 5 exons. The record is from RefSeq and is a predicted model, not a curated record.
CAUAUGAAAAAAUUAAAGCAAUCCAAAGAAAUUGUGGAGAUCGCUCAAGGUCUUCCAUUGCUUCUUGAAGUUAUGGGUUCAACUUUAUCAUUAUGUGGACAAACUAAAGAAAUAUGGGAUGAUUACCUAGAGAAGUGGAGAAAAGGUCCCAUUGAGAAAACUCAAGUAAGUUGAUGAUAAGUUAUGAAGCAUUGGAUCUCAGUCAAAGGCAAAUAUUUCUUGACAUAGCCUGUCUUUUUGUUGGAUAUGAUAAGAAUAUAGUAAUAUACAUGUGGAAAGAUUGUGGUCUAUGCCCAAUAGAAGGUCUUGAAGUUCUUCAAUUGAUGUCAUUGAUCAAAAUUGGAGAAGAUAAUAAAUUGUGUAUGCACAAUCAAUUAAAAGAUCUCGGUAGAGAAAUUGUUUCUCAAGAAAGUGGUGAGCAAUUAGAGAAGCAAAGUAGAUUGUGGAAUCACAAAGAUGCAUUGAACGCACUACUGAGCAAGAAGAAAAAUGAAAAGCUCCAAGCCCUCCGUCUAAUGUUUGAGGAUUCGUCAGAUUAUCGUUUCACUUUCGAAGGAUUUGCAGCAUUUCCAAAUCUAAGGUUCCUUCAUAUGGAUAGUCGAAAACUCACUGACGAGCUCUUUUCUGAGGUUACACUUCUUUGGCAUAACAAGUCCUUGGUCACAUCACUGACGAACUCUUAUCUGAGCAAGAAGCAACUUCUUCCAGAUUUAAGAUGGUUCUCUUGGCAUAAUUCUCCUAUGCGAAUCUUGCAAAUAAACAAUUUUUCAUUGAGUAACGUAGUCAUUCUUGAUUUUUCAAGAAGUAAACUUACUCAUGAUUGAAGCGGAUGGAAACAUAUCAAGAGAGCAGAGAAAUUAAAAGUUCUUAACCUUUCGGAGUGUGAGCUAUUGUUCAGGACUCCUGAUUUCUCUGAAUUUUUAAAGUUGGAGAGAUUGAUUCUUGAAAAAUGUGAAAGAUUAGCUGAAAUCCACUCAUCAAUCGGUCAACUGAAGUUCUUAGUUUUCUUGAACUUGAACUUCUGUAGUGAUCUCCGCUAUCUACCACAAGAGUUGGGCGGAUUGCCAGCCCUCGUAGAACUUCUCCUUGAUGGAACUUCUAUACGAGAAAUUCCGCAUUGGUGGGUUAUGAAGAACCUGAAGAAGCUUUCAAUGGAUGCAACACCAAUUAUUCAACUACCUGACUCCAUUGGGGCACUUAUAAAUCUUGAAAGCUUAUCUUUGAAUUGGUGCUCGAAUAUGGGCAGACUUCCACACUCCAUUAAGGAAUUACGAUCAUUAAUUAAGUUGGAUCUAUUGGAAACAGGAAUCACAAAGUUCCCUGACUCUAUGAGAAGUCUAGAGAAUCUGAAAGAAUUAAAACUUUCGUGGUGCUAUGGGUUAGGGGGCAUCUCUGACUUGCCUAAACUUCCCAUAAGCUUGACUUCUUUGGCGAUCUCGUCUCCAUCUUUGAUAACAAUGCCAGAUCUUUCGAGCUUGAUCAAUCUAAAACAACUAUUAUUGUGCAUGGGAGUGCGUGAUGUCUCUGGCCCAUCUGAGCUGGUGCAACUGCAAGAUCCCAUGCCUUCGUGGAUUGGUAGGUUAUCCAAAUUGGAAGUCUUGACCCUGACACUCCCACACAUGACCAACCUAUCUCCUGAGCUAGGUAUGCUUCCUCACUUGAGAUCUCUUCAUCUUCAUGGUUGCCAAGCUCUGGAAUGCAUUCCGCAGAUUCCCUCGAGUGUCUCAAAGCUUCACAUCAUAGAUUGCCCAUCACUUACCACACUUGAUAUCUCCACCUUGAAGAACCUAUCGGAACUGUAUGUCCUUGCCACACCUCUGGAGAAUCUGUCUGGGCACGAACUUUUCUACAGUGUGCCAGAAUGGAAGAUAAGUAAGGACUAUGCGCACGAUUUGCAAGCGCAUUUGAGAUCAAAGAUGUUGGAACAGCACGGACUCACAAAAAAUAUGUUGGGGCGUAGUAGAGAAAUGGAGAGAGGGUAUUUUUCAGUUCUUGGGAAAAUAAGAAGAUAUGUCUCUUAAGUGAAGAGACGAUUGGUUAAGAUCCAAAAUCACGCUUACAAAGACUCGACGCGGUGGAGUUUAUAUGCAUACAACUAAAAGAAGACAAACUGCUCCUCAUUUCAGGACUAAAUGGAUUCAGUGUAAAACAAGAUGCAAGGAAGCCUUUACUUUAUAUAUCUCCAUAUUCUAUUGAACGACACUUGGGUCCUCGCCCGAGAGCAAAUUGUUGAUAUGGCAAGGCUUACUACAUCUAAAGUAGAUUAGAGGGAAGGCCUUCAGAGACCUGCAAAUUGCAGUUGUAAAUUCUUAGGAGCUUCAUUUCAGUAUGGACUGUUCUGAGUUCCAGUUCAAGUUUACUAUAGUGGGUGAGAGUGGUUUCUUUUGUGGUGUUUUCCAGUUUCGAUCGGUUUGCUACAUUGAUAAGUCCCGUACCCUCUCCUUUUUUUCUUGUUACUUAUGUCUUCUUGCUGUGGAGAGCUCUUGGAUGUUUGAUAGGUUCAGUUUUCACUAGAACUGGGUGAUCCGUAUUUUGUUGAAUACCAGCAGGAUUGUCCGCAGAAA